GAAAGAAAGAAAGUAUUGAUAGUAGAACUAUUGAAGGCUACGGAAAUAAAAAAAAUAAAUAAAUAAAUAAAGAGAUAAGACCGGGUUACAAAAGGAAGGCUGAACAAGGUAUGGCUUCUGGUGAGAUUGGUCCACCUACCACCAUGAUGAGUUUUCAGAAUUAGACUUGUACUCUCAGUAUGGUUAGAAUUUCUGAUUUUUGGGUAUGGCUAUCAGAAGGCCAUAUUUGGGCUGAUUUUUGGGGAUUUUUCUGUCCUCUCAAUGGUUUAGUUUGAAUUUUUUUUUUUUUUUUUUUUCCUCAAGUGCUCAACCGUAUUUGGUCGUUUUGAGGAGUAGUUCUAAUAAAACGAGUGUAAUGGGCAUUGCAUUACCACAUAUGUAUAGGAAUACUUGUUCUCUGUUGGGGAAGAGACACAAGGAAUUGCUAUGCUGUUAUUCCGAGAGUAUGGUGAUGAGAGCCGCGUUCCUAAAACGCACAGCAGAAGAUGAAUAUAGAAGGGAUCUAACAAUUGACAGGUAGGUUUUGAAAUGGGAUUUGAGUUGGCGAAAUAGGACAACCGAAAAUCACUUCCAAAUGCUAAGAAAAAGAUGAUGACCAUUGCUUUUAGCAUCAAUCAUAGUCCUCUAAAUAUCAACCAAGAAGAAUCUCUACAACUUCUUCAAUUAAAUGUACAAGAAAAGGGGAAAGCCCUGUGUCUUGCUGCUGCCUGCUAAGUUUGCCAAGGGGCUAUGGGAGAAUUAAGCAUAGACAUCUAGGUAAGUACUCCAUUGCUUAUGCUCGUGUUUAUCCUUUUAUUUGGGUGUGAAACAUAUUUCAUAAUGUGUUGCUAUUGUUGUGAGAAGUUCAUUCACCAUGUCUUAUUUUGUAUUUUUUUUUUUUCUCGUAUAAUUUCUUCCUCCUCUUUUUAUUUUUUAUUGUCAUUUUAUUUUUAUUUUCUUUUCCUUCUUAGUGCUGUAUAUUAUUAAGCAAGCAUAAGGCAUGCUAGGUAUUAAUAUCAACCAAAAAAAUUUUUUUCUUGGUAUUUUAAAAUAUUCUCUUGACUUUUUUUACCCUUCUACAAAAGAAACUUGCAUUUUUUAAGUUAAAUAAAUUAGUAUUUUCAAUACUAUAAGUGUUAAUUAGAUUUCAAAAAUCUGUAACAUGAAGAGGUGCUUGGAUGAACUAUUUCUAAAAUAAAUUUGGAAUUUUUGACACUACUCAUGAAGUAGUGCAAGUUAGUACUUUUUAUUUAAAAUUAUGCUUGAAGGAUCGGGGUUUAGAUAAUGAGUGGAAGGAUUUAUAAAUUAGUUUAAUUAAAUUUAACUUUUGAAAUUAGAUUUGUCAAAAUAAGGCUCAAAAAUAGGAAAUUAGAUUUUUUGUUAUCGUUGAAGCUCUAACAACAAUUGUUAGAUUAUUAUUUUUGCUAGCAUGUGGGGAUGCAGACUUGAGAAUUGGCAGACAACUAACAUUCACGAGCUUGUGGAUUUUUGUAUCAAUCCGAAGAGAGAAGUUUGCCUGCAACUUAAGGAUGAGAGAUCUUUCACCAUUUUUGUUGUUACACUGAUGUAGUUCACGUGAAGAUGUAGAAAUGAAAAAAAUUUCACUGACCUCAACCAAAGCCAAGAUAUGAUACGUCGAUUCAAUACGUUAGUUAAUGAUUUUUUUGAUGGAAGACGUGAACAGUGACCAAAAGGUUCGGGCAAAGGAGCGAUGGACUGCCCCUCCUAAGGGUUGGUGGAAAGCUAACACUGAUGCGGCGUUUUGUAAUGGGAAAGCUGGGAUUGCUUUCAUUGUUAGAGAUUGGAAAGGAGAGGUCAAGUAUCUUGAUUACAAGCGUAUCUGCUGCGGUUCACCCUUGGAAGCUGAGGUGAUCUUGGGCAGCUGACCUGGCCAAUAGGAGGGAAUGGAAAAAUAUUUUUUGGUCUUCAGAUUGCAGAGAAGUGGUAAACGGCAUUCUAUCUCCAGAAGAACCUGUGGGAUGGGAAACAAGAUACGAUUUUAUUUCCCUUAGAACUUUUUUUGAAAAGGAUAACUGGUGCUUGUCUUGAAACUCAAGAAACUCCAACAGGGUGGCAUACUUACUUGCCAAGAAAGCUCUUCGGUCAGGGUGUUUAUCUGUCCCUUUUUGUUGUUUUUCUGGUUCUCUUCCAAGGGAUGUCUUGGGCUUGAUAGCCUCGGACGUUCUUGGAAAUAAUCUGUUGUUGUACCUCCCUCCCUCCCGGCUUUCGGGAGGUUUUUUGUGCCUUAUGCAAUGAAUCUUUAGAUUAUCAUGUUCCAUUUCUUGAUGUUUGGUUAUUUGAACAGAAUGAGAGAUGCUGAUCAAGCAAAGGAACGAGACAAGCGAGGGUGGUUCAUCGCAUCAUCAAAAAUGCAUAUUUUUAAUUCAUGUCAAAUAUUUUUUAUAUGAAACAAGCUAGAUGUAAACCAAAAAUUGGUAUUAUGUUAUGUGGCUUUUCGUUUGGUAAGGAAAUACAAUGUUCCUGACCAAAAAACAGAAGCAGUACAACAUUGUUUUAGUUGUCUAAAAAUUUAUUUAGAAAUUAUGUGAGGUUGCUAGCUCAUCUACCGAUAUUGUCAUCCCAAAAAAAAAAAAAAAUCCA
Molecule: long non-coding RNA, 2580 nt
Organism: Ziziphus jujuba (common jujube)
Lineage: Eukaryota; Viridiplantae; Streptophyta; Magnoliopsida; Rosales; Rhamnaceae
Exons: 6
Source: RefSeq, a predicted model, not a curated record